CUUAGGUUAAUCCUUUUAUUGCCAGAAAAAUGAACAAAACUAAUCCCUCUUUGUCUAGGAAAUGAAUAGGAUAUAGAUAUACACAAUAAUUCUUUAUGUAAUCAAAAACAAAAUAUUAUAGUAGGUAGUGAACAUAUACAUUUUGGAAAAAUAAGGACCAACAGAUUAACAUUAGCUGAGUAAUUUAAAAAUGGUUUCUUCUACUUUUGCAAAAACAGAAUAAGGGUUGGGGAUUCC
This is a non-coding RNA of Pelobates cultripes (western spadefoot toad), 237 nucleotides long. NCBI's taxonomy places the organism in Eukaryota, Metazoa, Chordata, Amphibia, Anura, Pelobatidae. The record is from the annotation of a GenBank genome assembly.